UAGGGAAUCUUCGNGCAAUGGACGGAAGUCUGACCGAGCAACGCCGCGUGAGUGAAGAAGGUUUUCGGAUCGUAAAGCUCUGUUGUAAGAGAAGAACGAGUGUGAGAGUGGAAAGUUCACACUGUGACGGUAUCUUACCAGAAAGGGACGGCUAACUACGUGCCAGCAGCCGCGGUAAUACGUAGGUCCCGAGCGUUGUCCGGAUUUAUUGGGCGUAAAGCGAGCGCAGGCGGUUAGAUAAGUCUGAAGUUAAAGGCUGUGGCUUAACCAUAGUACGCUUUGGAAACUGUUUAACUUGAGUGCAAGAGGGGAGAGUGGAAUUCCAUGUGUAGCGGUGAAAUGCGUAGAUAUAUGGAGGAACACCGGUGGCGAAAGCGGCUCUCUGGCUUGUAACUGACGCUGAGGCUCGAAAGCGUGGGGAGCAAACAGGAUUAGAUACCCUGGUAGUCCACGCCGUAAACGAUGAGUGCUAGGUGUUAGACCCUUUCCGGGGUUUAGUGCCGCAGCUAACGCAUUAAGCACUCCGCCUGGGGAGUACGACCGCAAGGUUGA
This 552-nucleotide ribosomal RNA is filed under the name uncultured bacterium. RNAcentral describes it as "bacterial SSU rRNA". It matches the Rfam family "Bacterial small subunit ribosomal RNA", at positions 355 to 897 of the family's 1533-position model. The record is from RNAcentral.